RNAcentral lists this ribosomal RNA (273 nucleotides) under uncultured bacterium. RNAcentral's name for it is "partial 16S ribosomal RNA". It matches the Rfam family "Bacterial small subunit ribosomal RNA", at positions 524 to 796 of the family's 1533-position model. The record is from RNAcentral.
UACGAAGGGGGCUAGCGUUGUUCGGAUUUACUGGGCGUAAAGCGCGCGUAGGCGGACAUUUAAGUCAGGGGUGAAAUCCCAAGGCUCAACCUUGGAACUGCCUUUGAUACUGGAUGUCUGGAGUUCGGGAGAGGUGAGUGGAAUUCCGAGUGUAGAGGUGAAAUUCGUAGAUAUUCGGAGGAACACCAGAAGCGAAGGCGGCUCACUGGCCCGAUACUGACGCUGAGGCGCGAAAGCGUGGGGAGCAAACAGGAUUAGAAACCCCCGUAGUCC